RNAcentral lists this ribosomal RNA (818 nucleotides) under uncultured bacterium. RNAcentral's name for it is "bacterial SSU rRNA". It matches the Rfam family "Bacterial small subunit ribosomal RNA", at positions 609 to 1428 of the family's 1533-position model. The record is from RNAcentral.
UCAACCUGGGAACUGCGUUNUGAACUGGGUGACUAGAGUGUGUCAGAGGGAGGUAGAAUUCCACGUGUAGCAGUGAAAUGCGUAGAGAUGUGGAGGAAUACCGAUGGCGAAGGCAGCCUCNUGGGAUAACACUGACGUUCAUGCCCGAAAGCGUGGGUAGCAAACAGGAUUAGAUACCCUGGUAGUCCACGCCCUAAACGAUGUCGAUUAGCUGUUGGGCAGCAUGACUGCUUAGUAGCGAAGCUAACGCGUGAAAUCGACCGCCUGGGGAGUACGGUCGCAAGAUUAAAACUCAAAGGAAUUGACGGGGACCCGCACAAGCGGUGGAUGAUGUGGAUUAAUUCGAUGCAACGCGAAGAACCUUACCUGGUCUUGACAUGUACGGAACCCUCCAGAGACGGAGGGGUGCCUUCGGGAGCCGUAACACAGGUGCUGCAUGGCUGUCGUCAGCUCGUGUCGUGAGAUGUUGGGUUAAGUCCCGCAACGAGCGCAACCCUUGUCAUUAGUUGCCAUCAUUAAGUUGGGCACUCUAAUGAGACUGCCGGUGACAAGCCGGAGGAAGGUGGGGAUGACGUCAAGUCCUCAUGGCCCUUAUGACCAGGGCUUCACACGUCAUACAAUGGUCGGUACAGAGGGUAGCCAAGCCGCGAGGUGGAGCCAAUCUCACAAAACCGAUCGUAGUCCGGAUUGCACUCUGCAACUCGAGUGCAUGAAGUCGGAAUCGCUAGUAAUCGCAGGUCAGCAUACUGCGGUGAAUACGUUCCCGGGUCUUGUACACACCGCCCGUCACACCAUGGGAGUGGGGGAUACCAGAAGUA